UACAGAGGGUGCAAGCGUUAAUCGGAAUUACUGGGCGUAAAGGGCUUGUAGGUGGCCAACUAAGUCAGACGUGAAAUCCCUCGGCUUAACCGGGGAACUGCGUCUGAUACUGGAUGGCUAGAGAUUGGGAGAGGGAUGCGGAAUUCCAGGUGUAGCGGUGAAAUGCGUAGAUAUCUGGAGGAACACCGGUGGCGAAGGCGGCAUCCUGGACCAACACUGACACUGAAAAGCGAAAGCCAGGGGAGCAAACGGG
This 253-nucleotide ribosomal RNA is filed under the name uncultured bacterium. RNAcentral's name for it is "partial 16S ribosomal RNA". It matches the Rfam family "Bacterial small subunit ribosomal RNA", at positions 524 to 776 of the family's 1533-position model. The record is from RNAcentral.